This is a non-coding RNA of Poecilia reticulata (guppy), 298 nucleotides long. Lineage: Eukaryota; Metazoa; Chordata; Actinopteri; Cyprinodontiformes; Poeciliidae. The record is from RefSeq and is a predicted model, not a curated record.
GAACAAAGCCCAUGUUGUCGGCUCCAUGGAAACGGUGCAGAAGGUCCGCAGGAGUUGGGUCGUCACACUGAGAUAUUGCAGAUCUGCGAUCAUCACCUGGAAAAUGCUGGCACCGUAAGGAGUCCUCCACGCAUUCAGCAGGUUGUCCUUCCCAGUGCUCACGAACCAUUUACCUACAGGCACAGAGGAGACACCUUUAGCACACACUGCAGGCUUGUGUCCAAAACACAGCUGUUUAAGCGAGGUACCGACCUGACCAGGGUCUGGUUAUGGAGGUCCCACACGGCGAUGUUUCCAU